GGACAUCCUGGCUUUGCCAUUGUAUUUCGGGGUAGCUCCAGGAAUGUGUCCACAUUCCUCAACGGAGCGGGAAUUUCCAGACCUUGGGCUCCUACUAGAUGCUGCGUCUCUGGCCACAAAGGAGAAGUCUGGAGGCACGUUCUCUCGUCUCCCCCUGCGGUACCUCUUCCCACUCCAGGAGCGCCUUUCCCGUUUGGCUGUCUCCAUGGUGAAGGCGGUCUUGUCACAUUUCACAGCGUGUUCGAUCUCUGCCCCUCAUGUCAGUACUCCUUUGGGGGUGCACCAGGAAGGAAAGGCAGCGCAUUACAUGGUUCUGCACCUGCUACAGCGUGGGAGAGCUCUGGAAAGGUUUGCUGAGCGGAUGCAACAACCACAGGAUGGGUAUGACCUUGGGCACCCAGCCCUCUGCGGCUGA
RNAcentral lists this long non-coding RNA (415 nucleotides) under Mustela putorius furo (domestic ferret). RNAcentral's name for it is "lncRNA (ENSMPUG00000025738.1)". Lineage: Eukaryota; Metazoa; Chordata; Mammalia; Carnivora; Mustelidae. The record is from RNAcentral.